RNAcentral lists this ribosomal RNA (506 nucleotides) under uncultured bacterium. RNAcentral's name for it is "partial 16S ribosomal RNA". It matches the Rfam family "Bacterial small subunit ribosomal RNA", at positions 29 to 523 of the family's 1533-position model. The record is from RNAcentral.
AGUGAACGCUGGCGGUAGGCCUAACACAUGCAAGUCGAACGGCAGCACAGAGGAGCUUGCUCCUUGGGUGGCGAGUGGCGGACGGGUGAGGAAUACAUCGGAAUCUACUCUGUCGUGGGGGAUAACGUAGGGGAACUUACGCUAAUACCGCAUACGACCUACGGGUGAAAGCAGGGGAUCUUCGGACCUUGCGCGAUUGAAUGAGCCGAUGUCGGAUUAGCUAGUUGGCGGGGUAAAGGCCCACCAAGGCGACGAUCCGUAGCUGGUCUGAGAGGAUGAUCAGCCACACUGGAACUGAGACACGGUCCAGACUCCUACGGGAGGCAGCAGUGGGGAAUAUUGGACAAUGGGCGCAAGCCUGAUCCAGCCAUACCGCGUGGGUGAAGAAGGCCUUCGGGUUGUAAAGCCCUUUUGUUGGGAAAGAAAUCCAUCUGGUUAAUACCCGGGUGGGAUGACAGUACCCAAAGAAUAAGCACCGGCUAACUUCGUGCCAGCAGCCGCCGUAA